AGAGUUUGAUCCUGGCUCAGGAUGAACGCUGGCGGCGUGCCUAAUACAUGCAAGUCGAACGAGGAGCCUCACAUCUUCGGAUGAGGGGAUUUCCUAGUGGCGGACGGGUGCGUAACACGUGGGUGACCUGCCCCGAAGUGGGGAAUAACUCCGCGAAAGCGGAGCUAAUACCGCAUGUUGUCGCGCGAGUUAGAGGUCGCGCGUCUAAAGAUUUCGGUCGCUUCGGGAGGGGCCCGCGGCCCAUCAGCUAGUUGGUGGGGUAAUGGCUCACCAAGGCUAUGACGGGUAGGGGACCUGAGAGGGUGAUCCCCCACACUGGAACUGAGACACGGUCCAGACACCUACGGGUGGCAGCAGUAGGGAAUAUUGCACAAUGGGCGCAAGCCUGAUGCAGCAACGCCGCGUGCGCGAUGAAGGCCUUCGGGUUGUAAAGCGCUUUUCGGAGGGAUGAAUCAAGACAGUACCUCCAGAACAAGGAUCGGCUAACUACGUGCCAGCAGCCGCGGUAAAACGUAGGAUCCAAGCGUUAUCCGGAAUUACUGGGCGUAAAGGGCGUGUAGGCGGCUUGGCAAGUCGGUCAUGAAAGCUCCCGGCUCAACUGGGAGAGGUUGUCCGAUACUGCCAGGCUAGAGGGCAAGAGAGGGAGGUGGAAUUCCCGGUGUAGUGGUGAAAUGCGUAGAUAUCGGGAGGAACACCAGUGGCGAAGGCGGCCUCCUGGCUUGCGCCUGACGCUGAGACGCGAAAGCGUGGGGAGCGAACGGGAUUAGAAACCCCGGUAGUCCACGCUGUAAACGAUGUCAACUAGGUGUCGGUGGCGUAGAACCCGUCGGUAUCGAAGCUAACGCGUUAAGUUGACCGCCUGGGGACUACGAUCGCAAGAUUAAAACUCAAAGGAAUUGACGGGGACCCGCACAAGCAGCGGAGCGUGUGGUUUAAUUCGAGGCUACGCGAAGAACCUUACCAGGGAUUGACAUGCACGUAGUAGGGAAGCGAAAGCAGACCGACCCUUCGGGGAGCGUGCACAGGUGAUGCAUGGCUGUCGUCAGCUCGUGCCGUGAGGUGUCAGGUUAAGUCCUGUAACGAGCGCAACCCCU
This 1094-nucleotide ribosomal RNA is filed under the name marine metagenome. Its description in RNAcentral is "bacterial SSU rRNA". It matches the Rfam family "Bacterial small subunit ribosomal RNA", at positions 8 to 1106 of the family's 1533-position model. The record is from RNAcentral.